This 200-nucleotide unclassified non-coding RNA is filed under the name soil metagenome. RNAcentral describes it as "partial contains internal transcribed spacer 2 and large subunit ribosomal RNA". The record is from RNAcentral.
AGCUAUGGAUCACAAUGUGUACGGUCUACGGUGUGAUAUAUGUCUACGCCUAUGGAUCUAUGCGAGAGUUACCGCCUGCAAGGGUCAUGGUCUUCAGAUCUGUGUAGCGACGUGAAUACAAAGCUCUAAUCGUCCUUCAUGGGACAAACUUUAUUCUGACAUCUGACCUCAAAUCAGGUAGGACUACCCGCUGAACUUAA